ACUUAGGUUAAACUGAUAAAACCAGUGACCUUCAAAGCCACAAACAAGAGAUAAUACCUCUUAGCCCC
Molecule: transfer RNA, 68 nt
Filed under: Lerista lineopunctulata
Lineage: Eukaryota; Metazoa; Chordata; Lepidosauria; Squamata; Scincidae
Description: tRNA-Trp
Source: RNAcentral